UACGUAGGGGGCAAGCGUUGUCCGGAUUUAUUGGGCGUAAAGAGCGUGUAGGCGGUUAUACAGGUCCGCUGUGAAAACUGGAGGCUUAACCUCCAGACGUCGGUGGAAACCGUAUAACUAGAGUCCGGAAGAGGAGAGUGGAAUUCCUGGUGUAGCGGUGAAAUGCGCAGAUAUCAGGAAGAACACCCGUGGCGAAGGCGGCUCUCUGGGACGGUACUGGCGCUGAGACGCGAAAGCGUGGGGAGCGAACAGG
Molecule: ribosomal RNA, 253 nt
Filed under: uncultured bacterium
Lineage: Bacteria
Description: partial 16S ribosomal RNA
Rfam family: Bacterial small subunit ribosomal RNA
Source: RNAcentral